Molecule: long non-coding RNA, 412 nt
Organism: Varroa destructor (honeybee mite)
Lineage: Eukaryota; Metazoa; Arthropoda; Arachnida; Mesostigmata; Varroidae
Source: RefSeq, a predicted model, not a curated record
UAAAAAUUAUGCCUUCAACAAUUUUUCGGUGCCAAUCGACGAUUCAGGUGUAAAUUGUGAGAACUAUAUAAAUUUAAGGAAUUACAUCCGUGGUCUGAGUGUGGGUUGCGGGCGCAUACUGGUUUUACUUUACAAUGACCCUGUGAGACCUAGGCACGCAAUAGACUUUGAUGUAACAAAGGUUAAUACGAUUGGCAUUCUGCAUGGUUGAGUUUUGGCUUUACGGACAGAUGUACGAUUCUUGCUUGGCACCUAUCAUUCGGUCAACUGGAGGUCAUGAUGUUUUUCCUUGCUGCUGCUGCUGCUGCUGCUGCUGCUCUGGAUUUCAUCGAUACGCCCAUGAGCUGUGGAAGAAGUUCGGGGGAAUGGAAGGUUGAAGUGACAAGCUACAACGUCUUGUAAAGGGUACGGG